AUUGAACGCUAGCGGGAUGCCUUACACAUGCAAGUCGAACGGCAGCGCGGACUUCGGUCUGGCGGCGAGUGGCGAACGGGUGAGUAAUGUAUCGGAGCGUGCCCAGUAGCGGGGGAUAACUACUCGAAAGAGUAGCUAACACCGCAUACGCCCUACGGGGGAAAGGGGGGGAUCGCAAGACCUCUCACUAUUGGAGCGGCCGAUAUCGGAUUAGCUAGUUGGUGAGGUAAAGGCUCACCAAGGCGACGGUCCGUAGCUGGUUUGAGAGGACGACUAGGCACACUGAGACUGAGACAAGGCCCAGACUCGUUCGGGAGGCAGCAGUGGGAAUUUUGGACAAUGGGGGAUACCCUGAUCCAGCCAUUCCGCGUGUGCGAUGAAGUCCUUCGGUUUGUAAAGCACUUUUGGCAGGAAAGAAAUCGCAUCAAUUAAUACUUGGUGUGGAUGACGGUACCUGAAGAAUAAGCACCGGCUAACUACGUGCCAGCCGCCGCCGUAA
Molecule: ribosomal RNA, 499 nt
Filed under: uncultured bacterium
Lineage: Bacteria
Description: partial 16S ribosomal RNA
Rfam family: Bacterial small subunit ribosomal RNA
Source: RNAcentral